This 305-nucleotide ribosomal RNA is filed under the name uncultured bacterium. Its description in RNAcentral is "bacterial SSU rRNA". It matches the Rfam family "Bacterial small subunit ribosomal RNA", at positions 333 to 654 of the family's 1533-position model. The record is from RNAcentral.
GAGAGCCUACGGGGGGCAGCAGUGGGGAAUAUUGGGCAAUGGGCGCAAGCCUGACCCAGCAACGCCGCGUGAAGGAAGAAGGCUUUCGGGUUGUAAACUUCUUUUGACAGGGAAGAGCAGAAGACGGUACCUGUCGAAUAAGCCACGGCUAACUACGUGCCAGCAGCCGCGGUAAUACGUAGGUGGCAAGCGUUGUCCGGAUUUAUUGGGUUUAAAGGGUGCGCAGGCGGUCUGUUAAGUCAGCGGUCAAAGCCCGGGGCUCAACCCCGGCCCGCCGUUGAAACUGGCAGUCUCGAGUUGGAGAG